UCGUUGUAGCAAUACGAUGGAAAGUCUAGUGGCGAACGGGUGCUUAACACGUGGGCAACCUGCCAGGAAGUGGGGGAUAGCUCGCCGAAAGGCGAAUUAAUACCGCAUGUGAUUAGAGAGGACAUCCUUUCGAAAUUAAAGUCGGGGCAACCUGACGCUUCUUGUGGGGCCCGCGGCCUAUCGGCUAGUUGGUGUGGUAAAGGCUCACCAAGGCUUUGACGGGUAGCUGGUCUGAGAGGACGACCAGCCACACUGGGACUGAGACACGGCCCAGACACCUACGGGUGGCAGCAGUCGAGAAUUUUUGACAAUGGGGGAAACCCUGAUCGAGCGACGCCGCGUGGAGGAUGAAGGUCUUCGGAUUGUAAACUCCUGUCAUUGGGGAACAAGGUGCAUACGUUAACUGCGUGCGCAUUGAUAGUACCCGAAGAGGAAGAGACGGCUAACUCUGUGCCAGCAGCCGCGGUAAUACAGAGGUCUCAAGCGUUGUUCGGAUUCAUUGGGCGUAAAGGGUGCGUAGGCGGCGCGGUAAGUCGGGUGUGAAAUCUCGGAGCUUAACUCCGAAACUGCAUUCGAUACUGCCGUGCUUGAGGACUGGAGAGGAGACUGGAAUUCACGGUGUAGCA
RNAcentral lists this ribosomal RNA (626 nucleotides) under uncultured Verrucomicrobiota bacterium. RNAcentral's name for it is "bacterial SSU rRNA". It matches the Rfam family "Bacterial small subunit ribosomal RNA", at positions 71 to 680 of the family's 1533-position model. Lineage: Bacteria; Pseudomonadati; Verrucomicrobiota. The record is from RNAcentral.